AGCGGUAACAGCUCAAAUUUGAAAUCUGGGUCUUUUAGGCUCCGAGUUGUAAUUUGUAGAAGAUGCUUUGGGUGCGGCCCCGGUCUAAGUUCCUUGGAACAGGACGUCAUAGAGGGUGAGAAUCCCGUAUGUGAUCGGUGGCUUGCGCCCGUGUAAAGCUCUUUCGACGAGUCGGGUUGUUUGGGAAUGCAGCUCUAAAUGGGUGGUAAAUUUCAUCUAAAGCUAAAUAUUGGCCAGAGACCGAUAGCGCACAAGUAGAGUGAUCGAAAGAUGAAAAGCACUUUGGAAAGAGAGUUAAACAGUACGUGAAAUUGUUGAAAGGGAAGCGCUUGCAACCAGACUUGCGCGGGGUUGAUCAUCCGGGGUUCUCCCCGGUGCACUCGGCCUCGCUCAGGCCAGCAUCGGUUUUGGUGGUUGGAUAAAGGCCUUGGGAAUGUGACUUCUUUCGGGGAGUGUUAUAGCCCUCGGUGCAAUGCAGCCUACCGGGACCGAGGACCGCGCUUCGGCUAGGAUGCUGGCGUAAUGGUUGUAAGCGACCCGUCUUGAAACACGGACCAAGGAGUCUAACAUCUAUGCGAGUGUUUGGGUGUCAAACCCAUACGCGUAAUGAAAGUGAACGGAGGUGAGAACCCUUAAGGGUGCAUCAUCGACCGAUCCUGAUGUCUUCGGAUGGAUUUGAGUAAGAGCAUAGCUGUUGGGACCCGAAAGAUGGUGAACUAUGCCUGAAUAGGGUGAAGCCAGAGGAAACUCUGGUGGAGGCUCGCAGCGGUUCUGACGUGCAAAUCGAUCGUCAAAUUU
RNAcentral lists this ribosomal RNA (798 nucleotides) under Pezicula cinnamomea. Its description in RNAcentral is "eukaryotic LSU rRNA". It matches the Rfam family "Eukaryotic large subunit ribosomal RNA", at positions 97 to 912 of the family's 3401-position model. The record is from RNAcentral. Lineage: Eukaryota; Fungi; Ascomycota; Leotiomycetes; Helotiales; Dermateaceae.